Molecule: ribosomal RNA, 465 nt
Filed under: uncultured beta proteobacterium
Lineage: Bacteria; Pseudomonadati; Pseudomonadota; Betaproteobacteria
Description: bacterial SSU rRNA
Rfam family: Bacterial small subunit ribosomal RNA
Source: RNAcentral
GGAGGAAACCAUGGGAUCGCAAGACCUUGCGCUCAUUGAGCGGCCGAUGCCUGAUUAGCUAGUUGGUGAGGUAAAGGCUUACCAAGGCGACGAUCAGUAGCUGGUCUGAGAGGACGACCAGCCACACUGGGACUGAGACACGGCCCAGACUCCUACGGGAGGCAGCAGUGGGGAAUUUUGGACAAUGGGGGAAACCCUGAUCCAGCCAUGCCGCGUGAGUGAAGAAGGCCUUCGGGUUGUAAAGCUCUUUCAGCCGGAACGAAACGGUCACGGCUAAUACCUGUGACUACUGACGGUACCGGAAGAAGAAGCACCGGCUAACUACGUGCCAGCAGCCGCGGUAAUACGUAGGGUGCGAGCGUUAAUCGGAAUUACUGGGCGUAAAGCGUGCGCAGGCGGUUUUGUAAGUCAGAUGUGAAAUCCCCGGGCUUAACCUGGGAACUGCGUUUGAAACUACAAAGCUAG